Molecule: long non-coding RNA, 348 nt
Filed under: Phasianus colchicus (ring-necked pheasant)
Lineage: Eukaryota; Metazoa; Chordata; Aves; Galliformes; Phasianidae
Description: lncRNA (ENSPCLG00000016067.1)
Source: RNAcentral
UACAACAUAGGGCUACCAGACCAGAUUGUUAGGACUGCGUGGUUUAAGAGAGUCAUCUUUUUAUUGGAAAGUCAUGGGGUCUCUAAAAAGGUCUUCAGGUAGCUCCAGUCCUUUGUGCAAGCUGUUAGUGCAGAGCUGUGUGGCACCUACUUUACCUUUCCAGGUGGAAAAUGCCCACCCCAACAGGCACUGAAAUUGUGUGACAAUUUCAACAAUAUGCGGAGAGGAAGGACAGAGCUCUGGGAAGCAAACUGCUCUGUGAAGUUGUUCUGCUCUCUGUCAGAGACUGCUUGAGUGAGGAGGCAGCAGCACAAGGGGACAUCUUAUUCAUUUUAAGAGCUCUUUUCC